GUUGGGGGAAGGACCCGAGAAGGCCCUCCUAGGUUCGGGCUCCCAUCCCCAGACCCCUGGGGCGCGGGAGAAGCGCGCCCGUUCCCCCACCCUGCGAGCACCUAGAAGAGAGGGCGAAACUCUCGGCUUUGGCGGACUCCACAGGUAGAAGCCAUGUCUAUUUGGGGGUUUGCCUCCCCGACUCCCGACCGCUUUGCGGUGUCUGCGGAGGCCGAGGACAAGGUUCGGGAACAGCAGGCUCGCUUGGAGCGUAUCUUCAGCGUAGGAAUGAGCGUCCUCUCCAAAGACUGCCCAGAGAACCCUCACAUCUGGUUACAGCUUGAGGGCCCCAAGGAGAACAUCUGCAGAGCCAAGGAAUACCUGAAGGGGCUCUGCAGUCCAGAAC
Molecule: long non-coding RNA, 385 nt
Filed under: Rattus norvegicus (Norway rat)
Lineage: Eukaryota; Metazoa; Chordata; Mammalia; Rodentia; Muridae
Description: long non-coding RNA NONRATT010455
Source: RNAcentral